GAUUAACGCUGGCGGCAUGCCUAAUACAUGCAAGUCGAACGGAAGCAGCAAUGCUUUAGUGGCGAACGGGUGAGUAACACGUAGGGAACCUACCUAUACGACGAGGAUAACUACUGGAAACGGUAGCUAAAACUGGAUAGGAUCAAUUGAGGCAUCUUGAUUGAUUUAAAGAUCCUUCGGGAUUACGUAGAGAUGGCCCUGCGGCGCAUUAGCUAGUUGGUGAGGUAACGGCCCACCAAGGCGACGAUGCGUAGCUGAGCUGAGAGGCUAAACAGCCACACUGGGACUGAGACACGGCCCAGACUCCUACGGGAGGCAGCAGUAGGGAAUUUUCGGCAAUGGGGGAAACCCUGACCGAGCAAUGCCGCGUGAACGAUGAAGGUCUUCGGAUUGUAAAGUUCUGUGAUUGGGGAAGAAUGGUAUUCUUAGGGAAUGAGGAGUACAUGACGGUACCCGAUUAGAAAGCCCCGGCUAACUAUGUGCCAGCAGCCGCGGUAAUUAC
Molecule: ribosomal RNA, 502 nt
Filed under: uncultured bacterium
Lineage: Bacteria
Description: bacterial SSU rRNA
Rfam family: Bacterial small subunit ribosomal RNA
Source: RNAcentral